UUGGGCAAUAAUAGUAGUGGUUUUUACCCAGCCUAGGGAGUCGGUUCAAGUUAAAUUAAUGUGCCAGCGACUGCGGGUAGACAUAGUGGGCCUGAUUUGUUUUAGGUCUGAGGUAGUAGUCGUAGGCGGUAUUUACACCCCCUCAUUUGUCAUUUCCCUAACUCAGCUAACAAAGUAAAAAGAGUAGUUAUUGCUGGAAGUUUGGGGGGUGGUUUUGAUGUCGAACUGAAACGGAUUAGGUACCCGUGUAGGAACUGCAGGUAGGCAUAAGCAGCUCAGGUGUUGUGUUAUUGAGAGUUAAGAGAGAAUUAACUAGGCGGUCGUAUAAAUAAGGAUAGGGGAGCUUGCUAGUUGAAUUGUGAAGGUACUCAGUUUUUUAAGAUUCUCUCAUGGUUAUCCAUUUCAAAGUGAUGUAUGUUCCGUCAAUUAGGGUAUGGGCGUUUAAGUCAGGUAUCUUUUUCUUUUAAUGAGGAAGGAAGGUCAGGUAACAUGUCCUUUGUGGGAGUCUGAUUAGUGAGCUACAAUUGAUUUCAUUUCAAUAGAAUUUACAAUAGGAUUGGUGAAUUUGGUAAAUAGAACUUGUUAGUAAAAAUAAACAAUUAGGAUUGUGUCCUACUAACCCCACUUGGCUAGUUGGCCAGGUGCGGUUGGUUCUGGUACAUAUGUUUGGUUGUUGUUUUGAAUAUAAUUUAGGAGCACUUACUGCCCGCCAGGUGAAGGGUGUUGUUGUAGCUGAGGCUGGGGUUUAUUGAGACACAGGAGACUCCAUGCAUGGGCAUAUGACACACAGCUACCAAGGCGUAACAUGGUAGCCCCUCUAGAAAGAUGGGCUGGAUACUAUUCGG
Molecule: ribosomal RNA, 845 nt
Filed under: Ascidiella aspersa
Lineage: Eukaryota; Metazoa; Chordata; Ascidiacea; Phlebobranchia; Ascidiidae
Description: small ribosomal RNA
Source: RNAcentral